Molecule: long non-coding RNA, 360 nt
Filed under: Lytechinus variegatus (green sea urchin)
Lineage: Eukaryota; Metazoa; Echinodermata; Echinoidea; Temnopleuroida; Toxopneustidae
Description: uncharacterized LOC121418612, transcript variant X2
Source: RNAcentral
GGUUUCUAAAGGAAUGUCUUUUGCCAAAUAAGGCGCCGUGAGACCGCAGACAUUAAACAGCGGACAUAUAGGACUGGUACCGGCACAUCUGACAGAAAAUUGGAUAUGCACGUGCUGAGAGAAAAUACUACAAAUCUCAGGAUUGAUUUCAAACACCAGUUUAAUUAUGACCGGUAUGAUUGGACUGAACUUUGACUUCAAUCUAACUACUUUUAUAGCGCAUGGUGUCUUCAUGUAGGCAUAUACUGGAUGCUACUAAAAAUAAGGGUAAAUACACGGCGAAAAUCCAUACGGCUUGCAUCUUUAGCUGAUUUUGGUUCUGGAUGUGAAGGUCAUAGGUUUGAGACCCAUUUCAAAAUU